CUGCAAAGUACCCUCAGAAGGGAGGCGAAAUAGAGCACAGCGAUAGUCGGGUGAGAACCCCGACGGCCUAAUGGAUAAGGGUUCCUCAGCACUGCUGAUCAGCUGAGGGUUAGCCGGUCCUAAGUCAUACCGCAACUCGACUAUGACGAAAUGGGAAACGGGUUAAUAUUCCCGUGCCACGGGGUCGAUCACGCUGGGCAUCGCCCAGUCGAACCGUCCAACUCCGUGGAAGCCGUAAUGGCAGGAAGCGGACGAACGGCGGCAUAGGGAAACGUGAUUC
This 280-nucleotide unclassified non-coding RNA is filed under the name Haloarcula marismortui. RNAcentral's name for it is "RIBOSOMAL RNA from Haloarcula marismortui (PDB 2J37, chain Z)". It matches the Rfam family "Archaeal large subunit ribosomal RNA", at positions 1348 to 1693 of the family's 2987-position model. The record is from RNAcentral. Lineage: Archaea; Methanobacteriati; Methanobacteriota; Halobacteria; Halobacteriales; Haloarculaceae.